This 460-nucleotide ribosomal RNA is filed under the name uncultured bacterium. RNAcentral's name for it is "partial 16S ribosomal RNA". It matches the Rfam family "Bacterial small subunit ribosomal RNA", at positions 338 to 795 of the family's 1533-position model. The record is from RNAcentral.
UCUACGGGAGGCAGCAGUGAGGAAUAUUGGUCAAUGGACGAGAGUCUGAACCAGCCAAGUAGCGUGAAGGAUGACUGCCCUAUGGGUUGUAAACUUCUUUUAUAUGGGAAUAAAACAGGGUAUGCAUACACUCUUGUAUGGAACAUAUGAAUAAGGAUCGGCUAACUCCGUGACAGCAGCCGCGGUAAUACGGGGGAUCCGAGCGUUAUCCGGAUUGAUUGGGUUUAAAGGGAGCGUAGGUGGAUUGUUAAGUCAGUUGUGAAAGUUUGCGGCUCAACCGUAAAAUUGCAGUUGAAACUGGCAGUCUUGAGUACAGUAGAGGUGGGCGGAAUUCGUGGUGUAGCGGUGAAAUGCUUAGAUAUCACGAAGAACUCCGAUUGCGAAGGCAGCUCACUGGACUGCAACUGACACUGAUGCUCGAAAGUGUGGGUAUCAAACAGGAUUAGAUACCCUAGUAGUC